GCAGUCGAGCGGUAGGCCCUUCGGGGUACCGAGCGGCGAACGGGUGAGUAACACGUGAGCAACCUGCCCCUGACUCUGGGAUAAGCGGUGGAAACGCCGUCUAAUACCGGAUACGACCUUCCGCCUCAUGGUGGAGGGUGGAAAGUUUUUUCGGUCAGGGAUGGGCUCGCGGCCUAUCAGCUUGUUGGUGGGGUAACGGCCUACCAAGGCGAUUACGGGUAGCCGGCCUGAGAGGGCGACCGGCCACACUGGGACUGAGACACGGCCCAGACUCCUGCGGGAGGCAGCAGUGGGGAAUAUUGCGCAAUGGGCGAAAGCCUGACGCAGCGACGCCGCGUGGGGGAUGACGGCCUUCGGGUUGUAAACCUCUUUUACCACCAACGCAGGCUCCGGGUUCUCUCGGGGUUGACGGUAGGUGGGGAAUAAGGACCGGCUAACUACGUGCCAGCAGCCGCGGUAAUACGUAGGGUCCGAGCGUUGUCCGGAAUUAUUGGGCGUAAAGAGCUCGUAGGCGGCGUGUCGCGUCUGCUGUGAAAGACCGGGGCUUAACUCCGGUUCUGCA
RNAcentral lists this ribosomal RNA (562 nucleotides) under bacterium 84-L049641-122-013-D11. RNAcentral's name for it is "bacterial SSU rRNA". It matches the Rfam family "Bacterial small subunit ribosomal RNA", at positions 57 to 625 of the family's 1533-position model. The record is from RNAcentral.